Molecule: long non-coding RNA, 12754 nt
Filed under: Gossypium barbadense (sea-island cotton)
Lineage: Eukaryota; Viridiplantae; Streptophyta; Magnoliopsida; Malvales; Malvaceae
Description: long non-coding RNA (GBAR_LNC004632)
Source: RNAcentral
AAAAACCUAUAAACUUUCAAAGGCUCUCUCAUUUCUCUUCCCAUUUUCGUCGGACGCCACCUCCAUCAGAGAUCCCACGGUCCAUGGUCACCGACGGCACGGGCACGACUCCGGUAAGACCCCUCCUCCCUCUUUUAUACUUCGUAUUUGUAUUAAAUCCGAAUGAAAAGAGGAGAAAGAAAUGAAAAAAAUAAAGACAAAAAUAGAUUACAAGAAAUAAUCACCUUUCCAGUAUUCUCUUGUGUGCUUUCUAUUGAUUUUUUUUUCAAUGUAUUUUGUAUACAACUUGUGUUCUAUCUCUUCGAGAAAAAGGAAAAAGAAAGGAAAAAAAAAACCCCACCCACCAUCAUUAUUCGGGCUCUUUAUAGCUAAAAAUACAACCAACUUCUCUACUGUUUUUGCUAUCUCCUCAUAGGUAUGGCGACGUGGGGUAGUCGUGGGUGUGCCGAUGUAGAGAGUAGCGCACGAGUCGGAGGGGCAACGUAUGGCGCUUGGAAACUGACUUGGCUGCAGUGGCUGAAGCAUUUAGGACUAAGGUUUUCUGCUUGGGUAGUGUUUUUUAAUUUGGGCUUGAUUGAAUUGGGUUUAAGGGUUGGUAUUUGGGAUUGGGCCUAUGUAGUAUUUGGGCUGGGUAAAAUUUGGGCCCUACAGCUGCCCCUCUUUGCUCGUUGUCGUGUAACGAGAAUAGAGCAAAGAUUUUAAAUGGGUCAAUUUUGCCCGGUCUUGCCAAGGUUUGACUUCGUGAUGCUUCAUUUCUUCAGGUAACCUCACUUUAACCCAUUGCAUCUUCAGGGGUAUAGGAACUCGUUUCCAUCUGCUCCACUACUGCUUAGGAGAUAAGAUCUGCAAUUUUUAGCCUGUUACCCUACAGCUUAGGGGGUUAAGGCUCGUAUCUUCAACCUGCUCUCUUGCUACCUCAGAAAGAUAAAGCUGGUGGCUAAAAUCUGCUCCAUAGUCAAUACAUAGAGAUAGGACUCGCCAUUUUUGAUCUGCUUCAUAGCCGAUACAUGGAGAUAAGAUCUGUAAUUUUUAGCCUGUUACCCUACUGCUUAAGGGGUUAAGGCUCGUAUCUUCAACCUGCUCUCUUGCCAUCUUAGAGAGAUAAGGCCGGUGGCUAAAACCUGUUCCAUAGCCGAUACAUGGAGAUAAGACUCGCAAUUUCUGAUCUACUCCAUAGCCGAUACAUGGAGAUAAGAUCUGUAAUUUUCAGUCUGCUUCCUGCAACUUCAAGAACAUAAUACUUGUGGCUAAAAUCUGCUCCAUAGCCGAUACAUGGAGAUAAGACUCGCCAUUUCUGAUCUGCUCUAUAACCGAUGCAUGGAGAUAAGAUCUGUAAUUUACAGUCUGCUUCCUGCAACUUCAAGAAGAUAAGACUUGUGGCUAAAAUCUACUCCAUAGCCGAUACAUGGAGAUAAUACUUGCUAUUCUUUAUUUGCUCCAUAGCCGAUGCAUGGAGAUAAGAUCUGUAAUUUUCAGUCUGCUUCCUGCAACUUCAGGAAGAUAAGACCUGUAUCUUCAACCUGCUCUCUUGCUAUCUUAGAGAGAUAAGGCUGGUGGCUAAAAUCUGCUCCAUAGCCGAUAUAUGGAGAUAAGGCUUGACAUUUUCGAUCCACUCCAUAGCCAAUACAUGGAGAUAAGAUCUGUAACUUUCAUCGAUGUCGCUACAUUAUCCUCUGGGGCCCUGCGGACUCGAUUUCAUAUCUAUGUUUAUGCCAAAUGAUUAGAAUGCUAUGACUGAAAUGAAUCAGAUGCACCUAACCUAAUGUGUUAUGAAUGAUAUGAAUGUAGAAAUGAAAAUGAUUUCUUUUUUUUUUAAGUUUUAAGUAUCAUCACUCGUUAUUCAUUAGAGUUUUAUCACAUCGUAUUAUGCUGCCUUCCUGCUCGACUAGCGAAACCCAUAGAAACAACCCAUUUUGCUCAACUGGUUUGCCCCAUUUCAACUUCAAGGUCUAUUUCACUGUAUUUCUAGAACCUAAGAUUUGUACCAUCUUCAAAACUCCCUCUUCCAUCAAUUCGGUCUAUUACACCACUCCUCGGGCCCUAUGACCAGAUAUGUACGCCUGAUAUUUCAUUAGUGAAGAACAUUAUGAUCCCCUCUUAUGCUUUGGUUGUCACAACAUCCUGUUUUCUUAUUCAAUCAAUAUCUUUGACUGAAGAGAUAAUCCCAAUUUGAACACAAAUAUUCCACUCUUAAGCCGGGUAAGUUCUAAACGAAAGUCCUGUUUCAGGUUCUUAUACCAUUUAGAAACUUCUAGAGUAAUAUGCAAAACCUCUUUUGCAAAAGUGUUAUUAGUCCAUUAAUCAUUAUUUCAAUACAAGCACGUGAACAUAAAGAUAAAGAUUGUCAAAAUUGAAGUUUAUUAGGAACAAGAUUCAAGAAAAAUGGAUUAAUUACAGGAAGCAAAUAUUGCCAAAGUACAAAAAUAGUUAAAGAGGAACAAAAAUGAGCGCCUCAGAUAUCACAGCCUAAGCUCCUCCAUAUGAACUCCACGAGAACCAUUUUGAGCCUAUCAUAUGCCUAGGAGAUCUAGCGUAUUCUGUCGAUGCCCCAAGACAUGCGUACUUCCUCUUCAUUAAUUCCAGCAUAGCAAGACUACCUCCUACCCCAUCCUUGGUCAAAAUUUGAAUUGCCCUUUUCGGGUUUUCAAUUCAAAACCUCUUCGGUCUCAAUGCACUCUUUGUGGGUUUUCACCUCGGCCUUUCCCUUUUUUUUUCUUUUUUUUAAGCGCCCUUUGCGAGUUUUCACCUCUUAAGCGAAGUACUUCUUGACUGAAUCUGAAUUUACUGGAUUAGGCAGGCUCCUACCAUCUAGCUCAGUUAAUAUCAAUGCUCCUCCAGAAAAAGCUUAUUUACCACAUAAGGUCCUUCCCAGUUUAGCAUCCAUUUCCCUCUGAAAUCUUUUUGCAUAGGAAGAAUUAGCUUCAAUACCAAGUCCCCCUCCUGUUUGUUAUAAGCUCGCAUCAUUCGCCUCUGGUACAUUUGACCAUGACGAAUAGCCUUAAGUCUCUUUUCUUCAAUCAAGUUCAGCUGAUCAUAUCGGGACUGAAUCCAUUCUGCUUCGUCCAGCUUCAACUCUGAUAAAACCUGGAGAGAAGGAAUUUUGACUUCAAUGGGCAAAACUGCCUCCAUCCCAUAAACCAAUGAGUAAGGUGUUGCCCUAGUAGAAGUUCUGACAGAUGUUCGAUAGGCAUAAAGAGCAAAUGGUAACUUUUCAUGCCAAUCCUUAUAGGUCUCAGUCAUUUUCCCCACGAUCUUUUUGAUAUUCUUAUGAGCUGCCUCAAUUGCACCAUUCAUUUUUGGGCGAUAAGAUGACGAGUUGUGGUGUUUAAUCUUGAAUUGCCUGCAGACCUCUACUAUCACACUGUUAUUCAAAUUCAACGCGUUGUCAGAUAUGAUCCUUUCUGGCAUGCCAUAUCGACAUAUGAUCUCUUUCUUCAAGAACUUGCCGAAUGUCGACUUUGUGACGUUGGCAUAUGAAGCAGCCUCUAUCUACUUGGUGAAGUAAUCGAUGACCACAAAGAUGAAUCGAUACCCAUUAGAAGCCUUUGGUGAAAUCGGCCCUAUAACGUCCAUGCCCUACAUUGAAAAAGGCCACGGAGAAAUCAUGACAUGAAGGGGUGAAGGAGGCACGUGGAUCUUGUCACCAUAAAUUUGGCACUUAUGACAUUUCUUGGCAUAGCUGAUGCAAUCUCCUUCCAUUGUGGACCAAUAGUACCCGAAUCUCAUAAUCUGCAUGGCCAUUGUGAACCUAUUGGCAUGCGUCCCGCAGACACCCUCAUGGACCUCUUCCAGGAUUUUCUUAGCUUCAACAGCAUCAACACAUCUUAACAGUACCUGAUCUUUCUUCCUUUUAUACAGGAUUUCUCCAUCCAAGACAUAGUCACUGGCUAGCCUUCUCAAUAUUCUUUUAUCAUUUUUCGUUGCCUGGGUAGGAUAUCCACGAUUCCUCACAUGUCGUAAAAUAUCAUGAUACCAAGGAUAAUCAUCUCUUUCCUCUUCGUCGUCUAUAUUGUAACAAUGAGCUGGAGCCUCAUAUAUACUCAUCUGGAUCGGUUUCAUAUUCUCUCGUCCAUUUACUCUGAUCAUAGAAGCUAACGUAGCCAAGGCAUCUGCCAUCUGAUUUUCGUCUCGCGGGAAAUAAAAGAAAGUGAUAUCAUCAAACACCUUAAUUAGAUCCCGAAAUAGCUCUCGAUAGUUGAUCAACUUUGGGUCUCUUAUCUCCCACUCACCUUUGAGUUGAUAGAUCACCAGUGCAGAAUCCCCAUACACCUCUAACACCCUAAUUUUACGUUCGAUGGCUGUACAGAUUCCUAUGAUACAUGCUUCAUACUCUGUCAUAUUAUUUGUGCAAUCAAAAUCCAAUUUGCAAGUGAACGGAUAAUGAUCUCCAGCUGGGGAUAUCAAGACUACCCCAAUUCCAUUACCAACGGCAUUUGAUGCUCCGUCAAAAUUCAAUUUCCACGUAUAAUCUUCUGAGGUGUCCUCUUCGGUAAUUGCCACAUACAUUAGAUCUUCAUUUGAGAAAUCAAAGUUCAAAGGCUCAUAAUCUUCCAAAGCUCUGCUGGCUAGAAAAUCUGCUAUUGUACUCCCUUUCACAGCCUUUUGACUCACAUAAACUAUGUCGAAUUCAGAAAGCAGAAUUUCUAUCGGGUCAUCCUUCCACUCAAAGCAGUUGACUCCAUCAUGUACUUUAAAGGGUCCAAUUUUGAAAUUAACCAAGUUGUAUGAUACAACAGGUACUGCCUCAAUCUUCGAGUAGUCCAAACCAAAGCACAACAUAGUUUUUCAAUUGGCGAGUAUCUCAUUUCGCACUCAGUGAAUUUCUUAUUGAGGUAAUAUAUCACAUUUUUCUUCUUUCCUGUCUCAUCAGGUUGACCGAGCACACAUCCCAUUGAAUUGUCAAAUACUGUCAAAUACAAUAUCAAUGGCCUACCAGGGCUAGGUGGCAUUAGCACCGGGGAAUUAGACAAAUACUGUUUAAUAUUGUCAAAGCUUUUCUGGCACUCAUCAUCCCACUCACCUGGGUUGUGUUUCUUGAGAAGGCGAAAUAUAGGGUCACAUUUCUCAGUCAGCUGUGAAAUAAACCAGGCGAUAUAAUUUAGUCUUCCCAAGAAACCUCGAACUUCCUUUUGAGUGCGCGGCGGAGGUAAUUUUUGUAUAGCCUUGACUUUGUCGGGGUCGACCUCGAUUCCCUUUUCGCUGAUUAUGAAACCAAUCAGCUUCCCUGACCUAGCUCCAAAAGUAUAUUUUGUUGGAUUGAGCUUUAGCUGAAACUUCCUCAAUCUCAGGAACAAUUUCCUCAAAACCUGUAUGUACUCCUUUUCUGUUCGGGAUUUUGUGAUCAUGUCAUCGACGUAAACCUCAAUUUCCUUAUACAUCAUGUCGUGAAACAAGGUUACCAUGGCUCUUUAAUACGUUGCUCUGGCAUUCUUCAACCCGAAUGCCAUCACCCUAUAGCAAAAAGUCCCCCAUAAGGUUAUGAAUGUGGUCUUUUCUAUGUCUUCAGGAUGCAUCUUUAUCUGAUUGUACCUAGAGAAACCAUCCAUGAAGGAGAACAGUGAGUAACCUACCGUGUUGUCCACCAGAGUGUCGAUGUGAGGCAAGGGGAAGUUGUCCUUUGGGCUGGCCUUGUUUAAGUCCUUGUAAUCUACACACAUCCUCAUCCUUCCAUCUUUCUUAAGGACAGGGACGACGUUAGCUACCCAUUUUGAAUAAUUAACAACUUGUAAGAACCCGGCAUCAAAUUACUUUCUGACCUCUUCUCUUAUUUUUACUACAACAUCGGGUCUCAUCCUUCGAAGCUUCUGUUGAACAGGCUUGCACUCUUCUUUUAUGGGGACGCGAUGCACCGCAAUAUCAGCGCUUAGCCCAGGCAUGUCUUGAUUUGACCACACGAAGAUAUCCUUGAACUCUUGCAGUAAAUCAAUGAGGUCCCGUCUUGUUUCCUCAGUUAUGCAAGUUCUAAUGUUCACCUCUUUCCUCUCUUCCAAGGUCACACUCUCGAUUGUCUCUUUAUAGGGUAGAAUCAGUUUCUCUUCCUGUUCUGCCAUCCUUAACAAAUCUGAAGGUAAGCUACAGUCUUCAUCAUCUUCAAAAUCCUGAGAUCCCUCCAGACACACGUCUCGCUCAAAAAGGAACUCCGGGUUUGUAACAGCGUCACUCAUGCCAUUGAUAUCUAGAGACCUAUUGUAGGCACGAAAGAAUAUCCAACAAAUAAAUGAACCUAAGUAUAGCUUUAUUUGUAUGGUAUGAUUAUAAACGAAAUGUAAGAAAAGAAAAUUUAUUUAAGAUAAAAGAAUAAUUGCUCAGAAUAAGACAUAAAAGUGCAUUUAUAUUGAAAUAAACGUUUUGAAAAUGAACCUAUUUCACAAAAGAUUUUUAUUGCUUCUAAGCUUUUAAAACAACAAGUGUGUUUUGAAUAUUACUCUAUAUUAGCACUAAAAACUACUGAAAUUUCCUCCGCAGUCUAGUUGUUCAGAAUACUUCCAGGCUCAUAAGGGCGAAUGCCUGCUAAGUCAUGUUUUAUCACUUUCUCUUCAGAUAUGACAUUGAUAUUCAAAUUUUCAAUUGCGUCUUCAACAGUUUCCUCUCUUGUCAUCUUUAAUUCAGGAUAAAUAACUCCACCCUACACAAAUGUAUAAGAUAUAUGGGGAAAAGUCAUUGAUUCCCACUCGACUUCUGCCCCAUUCAGUCGUACUCUUUGUCUCUUCUGCUUCCUUUCCAUCUCCUUUCUUUUCUACUUUGCAUCUGGCCUAUACCCUAAGCCAAAGCGAUCUUGUUUGUCAGCCAAAACUGGCACCUCAACUCAUCCAUGAAGAUACUUUCCAAGUCCUCUUCCAGACAAUACUCUCUUUCCCACUGUUAAUUGCAAGCUUAUCCUCGUAGCCUUAGAUAUUCUUGGCAUUGGGACCCUGCCCCAUUCAAUAAUGAAAGUUGCAUUUACAAACUCCAAUGACCGAAAGGAACACUCAAUUUCUUCAUCAUCAUUUUCUAUAUACGGUGCACUACUAGUAACGGAUGCAAUAAUGUCCUCCUCAGCAUUUAUCGUUAUCAAAUGGCCCUCCUUCACCAGCUUUAACUUUUGGUGCAACGAUGACGGUACUGCCCCUGCCGAGCGACUCCAAGGCCUCUCCAACAAGCAAUUAUAAGAAGGCGUAAUAUCCAUUACAAGAAAAUCUACCUCAUAUGUGUUUGGUCCGAUUAGCAGAGGUACCUCAAUCCUUCCCAUCACUUUCCUCUCAGUGCCAUCAAAUGCCCUCACUAUGUUCUGGCAUGUCUUCAUAUGAGAGCUGUCAAUUGGUAACCUAUUUAAUGUGGACAAGGGAAAAACAUUCAGUGCUGACCCAUUAUCAAUUAAUACCCCCGGUAGUGUAUACCCUUUGCAACGAGUGGUGAUGUGUAAAGCCUUGGUGGAUCCCAUACCCCCUAGUGGUAUUUCAUUGUCACAGAAGAAGAUGAAGUUAUCGGCGCUUAUGUUACUGAUAAGGCAGUCUAGCUUGUUCACUGAAAUAUCUUCAGUGACAUAGAUCUCGUUCAACACCUUCAUCAAUGCAUUUUGGUGAACUUCCGAGUUUUGAAGCAGAGCUAGUACUGAUGUGUGUGCCGGCUGCUUGUGCAACUGUUCUACAACACUAUACUCACUAUGUUUUAGGAACUUCAAAAAUUAUUUAGCUUCAUCUUCAGUUACUGGUUCAUUAACCAGUGGUUUUGUCCUCUCUUUCCCUUGUUCAAUCAUCACGGACUUCCCUUUUCCAAGCUCGACCUUUGUACUUGGCAUGCUGACCAGACUCUCCUCCCCUGGAUAUGUCACAUUACAGUUGUAAUUCCAAGGCACCCUUUUGUUAUCCUUAUAUAGAAAAGCCACGGGUCUCUGGAUUACAACUCUCAGUGUAAUUUUUGCUCCAACUUCAUUAAUUUUCGGUCGCGAAAUGAUCACCACUGGGUGAUUGACCUCAGUAACCUUCUCUGUCAACCCCUCCUCCGAGGAACAUACAUCUUCUUUCUCAGUAAACUCAAAGAACUCCAGUUCUUUGUUGUCCACUAAAGCCUGUACCAAGGCCCUAAAUUUAUUACAUUCUUCUAUCUCAUGGUCCUCCUCUCCAUGGAACUCAUAAUAGUUCCAUGCUUCUCGGGAUUUGCUCCCAAAGUCUUGCAUGACUAGACCUUUCUCCACUAUCUUCUUCAAAACUUCCCUCAUCGAGGUUCUCACUUCUGCCACAUCCAACUUAAUUCUCCUCCCCAUAUUAUUGAUUAUUGCGUUUACCCCCUUAUCAGUAUGAUUGGGUAAUGGAUUUCCUACACCAGGUGUAUCAUCAAAUUUCACAAUACCCAUAUUGAUGAGCCUUUCGACUACCCUUUUAAAAGAGGUUCAAUUCUCUAUCGAGUGUCCCGCGAUUCCAGCAUGAUAUUCACAUUGAGCACUUGCAUCAUACCACUUGGGGUAUGGAGGUUGUAGUGGUUUUAAAUAAAAAGGAGAUACGACGUGUGCAUCAAACAAACUUUUGUACAGCUCCCGACACGUUACUGGAAUGGGAGUAAACUGGGGCUUCUCCGUGUUUUGCUUUGUAUUGGGCUCCUGUCUUGGCGAAGCUUGCUGGCCCGUGGCUACCACUUUCAGUUGAUUUACCAUGAUUGGUUUCGCAUAACCCAUAUUCACAUUGCUGACUUCAUUUUCUUUCUUUUUUGGGGCUGACCUCCUGGUGCUUUCCCCUGCCUCUCUCUUGUCGCACCUUAUUGCAUUCUCAAUCAUUUCACCAGACAUAACUAUAUCCGCAAAACUCUUAGUUACGCUUCCCAACAUGUGAUUAAUAAAAUGUGCCUUCAAGGUAUUAAUGAAAAGUAUGGUUGUUUCAUUUUCCAACAGUGGGGGUUGGACUUGUGUAGCAAUAUACCUCUAUCUCUAAGCGUAUUGCUUGAAAAUUUCAUUCGACUUCUUCUCCAUGUUUUGUAAUGUUAUCCUAUCAGGCGCUAUGUCAGUCACAUGGCCAUAUUGUUUCAUGAAGGCCUGCGCUAAGUCUUUCCAUGAUUUGACUUAGGUACGACUUAAUUGAUUGUACCACUUAGUCACAGCCCCAGCUAAACUGUCCCAGAAACAGUGGAUCAAUAACUGAACCAUAGCCCAAAACAAGUACUUGUCCACCUUGAUAUCGAGCAGGUAGGGUAAGUCACCAUAACUUUGAUAGAAUAACUGUUUGGUCUCAUCCUCCCAAUGAGCCCAUAUAUCCCCCAAUUCCUAGAACUCAUUUUGGGUCACGUUGAUGCGAGUAAAGCCCGACAACCCCGAUGUAUACCCCUCAGCUAGGCUAUCUCAUUUCUCAAGUUGCAUCUUCUCUGACCACAUACAAACAGCCGUAUUAUCCUCUACUUUAUCAAGGAAUUUGCUCCCCAUAACAAGCUUUCUAAUUUAGCAACCGAACAGGAAUCGACACCUCUUUAAUAUGAAAUGACAUGCAAAACAUAAUCACAACAAAACGCAACAAGUUAGUAUCAAAAAAUAAAAUCUAAACAAAUAGAAAAUAAUUAAACACCUAACUGGGUAAUCAGUAGAGUUCAACAUAGCUCUACUUAGGGCGGGCUCUUAGAGUUCACUAUAUGCAGCUCGAUUCUAAGAAAAUAGUACCUGAACUAGCAGAUUCCUCAACCCUCACCCAUUAUAGGCUCAUGCAGAUCGAGUUCAGUUCAGGGGAAUACAUUUCCCUACGGCUAUGCAGAGGUGAAAACCUCACGAAGACAUAGGUACGAUGUAUCCCGGAAGCAGUCCACUAGUCCAUGCGGAGGUGAAAACCUCACGAAGGCAUAGUUUCUCACUCCCACUUAAAAAGGUGCGACCAUAACGGUCAUGCAAGAUGAUGCGAAGGGAUAUAAAAAACUCAAAAUGUAAAACACAAAUAAAAUGACCAAAAACCAUAAAACCCAUGAAAUGCAAUAAAAGGAUCGUAUGUUAAAAUCUAAAUUUUAAAUUUUCCACAAAAAGACAGAAAAUAAUCAAUUUUACGGCUUGACUCUCUUAUUAGUCCCUAGCGGAGUCGCCAAGCUGUUGAAACCAUUUUUAAAGAGUUUUGAAAAAAACGGGAAUCGACUUUUAAAACGAAAGUUUGGAGUCGCCACCAAUCUUUUUUGAUUUAGGUGUGAUCGGAUCACUUUGAGGUUGAUCAUUUUAAUACAACAUUUGAUUUAUUAAAACAAUAAUUUUAAGUCUACAAAAGUUGAGAAAAAGGGUUCGGGAGUCAAUUACGCACAAGGAAAGGUUAGCACCCUCGUAGCGCCCAAAAUUGGUACCAAUUGAUUAUUUAAUGUCCUAUCGUUGAAAACUUAAGGAAAAAUGCCAAAAUACGAUUCCUUUAAAAAUGUGUGAUAACUGAAAUUGGAUUUCAAGAUUCACUCGUUUCAAAGAAAUAAAAUACCACAUCCAGCACGUUAGGACAUGAUAUUUUAAGCCUCCAAAAAUUGAGAUCGCCUCAAAAUUUCCCAAAACACGUAACAAACUCUUAAAAGGGUACUCCGUUAUUUGACAAAACUGAAAAAAUGAAACCCAACACGUUAGGGCACGAUUUCCCGAAUUUCCCAAACAUGAAACAUUGCCUUGUUUUGAAAAAGUUUCCCAAAUAAGCAAUUAUAAAAUCAGCUCAAAAUAUAUUCGCUUGGGUUACUUUAGGUUAAAAAGCAGUAAUAUGACAUGGAUAGAUAAUGAGAAAAAUACAAAGGAUUAGGAUACAUGUAAAAGCGACAUACCAUAUAUUAAAAAAAACCAAUAUUCACAUUUGAAGGCUAACGAAUUAAAAGCAAAUUUAAAGAAGUUCCAAGCAAAUUAACACAGACAAUAUGUGGCAAGUUUUAAAACUAACAAACAAAUAAGUGACAUAGAAGAAAUGCAAUUUGGAAUUAUCAAUAUGUAAACAACCAAACAUAUAUACAAAUCUUAAAGUAGCAUACAUGAAAGUUCGAAAUAGAUAAAAAAUAAUUAAAUAAAAAUCAUAUAUGAGAUAAUAAUAUUUGAAUGAAAUUUCAAAAGACAAUGUAUAUAUAAAGAAAAGUGAAUAACAUAUAACAUAGUAUUUGUCAAUCUAAAUAAAUAAUAUACAUUAAAAUGGAAAUUUUAUAUAUAAAAACAAAGAUACUAGCAUAUGAAAAUAUUCAAAAUCGAUAUAAUAUACCAUUUAAAAUAGGAUCCUUGGAAGAAGAUAUACAUACAUAAAAUAAUAUAAAAUCAAUAAUAUAUAUAUGCAUAUAAAGAGAAAAUAUAAAAAAAAAUUUAAAGGAAAUAUUUACGUAAAAUAAUAGGAAAUCAAUAAUGCAUACUUAGAGUAAAAAAAAAUAUAAGUUAUGUAUAUACAUGUAUAAUGGUAUUGAAUUGGACAUCUAUAGAUCUUUAAAUAUAGGAAUAUAUGAAAUAAAGAAAACUUAAUAUAAAUAAAAUAAUAAACACUAAAAAUAUAUGAAAGUGUUUGGGGUAAACGUAUAUAUAUGUAUAUUAAUGUGGAAAAAUAAAUGUCAUAUAAAUCCCUAAGGUAUAAAACUAUAUAAAAGAGUUUUAAAUCCAAUAAGUCAUAUAAUAAAUCAAAGUAAAAAAAAACCUUACCUAAAUAUAAUUAAUUAAAAACAGUACAUAAUAAAAUAAUAUAUGAAAAAGAUGAAUAGUAAAAUAAAAAAAUAAAAAAAAGUAAACUUAAUUGAAAAAAAGUUAAAAUCAAAGGAUAAUUAAUAAAUAAAAUAAAUCAUGGAAAAUGAAAUAAGGAUCGUAGCGCAAUGCGCUCAAAUGCGCAGGGACCAAAAACGAAAUUAUUCCCAGCUUCAAAACGCAACAUUUCAAUGCGGACUAAAGUGAACAAAUGCGCCAAUUUCAGGGGAAAAACUUAAAAAAACAAAGAACAUAGGGAAAGAUCAAAUUGAAUGCAAGCGCGAAGGAGAAUGACUGAUUGUGCCAAUUCCCCAUUUUGAGCCAAAAGGCAUGGGUCCAGCACCAAACGGUGCUAUUUUAAUUUGCUAUUAAAAUCACUUUUUUGUUUUAAACAUCAUUUUCACCUUUGCAUCUUUUUAAAAAAAAAACCUAUAAACUUUCAAAGGCUCUCUCAUUUCUCUUCCCAUUUUCGUCGGACGCCACCUCCAUCAGAGAUCCCACGGUCCAUGGUCACCGACGGCACGGGCACGACUCCGGUAAGACCCCUCCUCCCUCUUUUAUACUUCGUAUUUGUAUUAAAUCCGAAUGAAAAGAGGAGAAAGAAAUGAAAAAAAUAAAGACAAAAAUAGAUUACAAGAAAUAAUCACCUUUCCAGUAUUCUCUUGUGUGCUUUCUAUUGAUUUUUUUUUCAAUGUAUUUUGUAUACAACUUGUGUUCUAUCUCUUCGAGAAAAAGGAAAAAGAAAGGAAAAAAAAACCCCACCCACCAUCAUUAUUCGGGCUCUUUAUAGCUAAAAAUACAACCAACUUCUCUACUGUUUUUGCUAUCUCCUCAUAGGUAUGGCGACGUGGGGUAGUCGUGGGCGUGCCGAUGUAGAGAGUAGCGCACGAGUCGGAGGGGCAACGUAUGGCGCUUGGAAACUGACUUGGCUGCAGUGGCUGAAGCAUUUAGAACUAAGGUUUUCUGGUAGUGUUUUUUAAUUUGGGCUUGAUUGAAUUGGGUUUAAGGGUUGGUAUUUGGGAUUGGGCCUGUGUAGUAUUUGGGCUGGGCAAAAUUUGGGCCCUACAUAUGUUAUGUAUUACAAACUUAUAAAAUUUAUAUACAUAUUAAAAAAUUCAAUAAAAAAUCAUUUAUACA